UGAAAUAAGGAUGUAGUUCAACUUCUAUGAAUGCUCGGCGAUACGAUAUGUAGAGAGGACAAAAAUAUGUAG
This 72-nucleotide transfer RNA is filed under the name Saccharomyces cerevisiae P283. Its description in RNAcentral is "tRNA-His". The record is from RNAcentral. Lineage: Eukaryota; Fungi; Ascomycota; Saccharomycetes; Saccharomycetales; Saccharomycetaceae.